CCUACGGGUGGCUGCAGUGAGGAAUAUUGCACAAUGGGGGAAACCCUGAUGCAGCGACGCCGCGUGGGUGAUGAAGGCCUUCGGGUUGUAAAGCCCUUUUGCCACUGACGAGAACGGACGGUAGGUGGCGAAUAAGCCUCGGCUAACUACGUGCCAGCAGCCGCGGUAAAACGUAGGAGGCGAGCGUUAUCCGGAGUUACUGGGCGUAAAGCGUGCGCAGGCGGUGCCAUAAGUCAGGUGUGAAAGAUUCCGGCUCAACCGGGAAAACGCGCUUGAGACUGUGGGACUAGAGUGGGAUAGAGGGGCGUGGAAUUCCGGGUGGAGCGGUGAAAUGUGUAGAGAUCCGGAGGAACACCAGAGGCGCAAGCGGCGCCCUGGGUCCCAACUGACGCUGAGGCACGAAAGCUUGGGGAGCGAACGGGAUUAGAUACCCCUGUAGUC
This 441-nucleotide ribosomal RNA is filed under the name uncultured bacterium. RNAcentral's name for it is "bacterial SSU rRNA". It matches the Rfam family "Bacterial small subunit ribosomal RNA", at positions 338 to 795 of the family's 1533-position model. The record is from RNAcentral.